CAUGCAGUCGAGCGAAUGGAUUAAGAGCUUGCUCUUAUGAAGUUAGCGGCGGACGGGUGAGUAACACGUGGGUAACCUGCCCAUAAGACUGGGAUAACUCCGGGAAACCGGGGCUAAUACCGGAUAACAUUUUGAACUGCAUGGUUCGAAAUUGAAAGGCGGCUUCGGCUGUCACUUAUGGAUGGACCCGCGUCGCAUUAGCUAGUUGGUGAGGUAACGGCUCACCAAGGCAACGAUGCGUAGCCGACCUGAGAGGGUGAUCGGCCACACUGGGACUGAGACACGGCCCAGACUCCUACGGGAGGCAGCAGUAGGGAAUCUUCCGCAAUGGACGAAAGUCUGACGGAGCAACGCCGCGUGAGUGAUGAAGGCUUUCGGGUCGUAAAACUCUGUUGUUAGGGAAGAACAAGUGCUAGUUGAAUAAGCUGGCACCUUGACGGUACCUAACCAGAAAGCCACGGCUAACUACGUGCCAGCAGCCGCGGUAAUACGUAGGUGGCAAGCGUUAUCCGGAAUUAUUGGGCGUAAAGCGCGCGCAGGUGGUUUCUUAAGUCUGAUGUGAAAGCACACGGCUCAACCGUGGAGGGUCAUUGGAAACUG
RNAcentral lists this ribosomal RNA (600 nucleotides) under Bacillus cereus. RNAcentral's name for it is "bacterial SSU rRNA". It matches the Rfam family "Bacterial small subunit ribosomal RNA", at positions 54 to 635 of the family's 1533-position model. Lineage: Bacteria; Bacillati; Bacillota; Bacilli; Caryophanales; Bacillaceae. The record is from RNAcentral.